This 624-nucleotide unclassified non-coding RNA is filed under the name Hevea brasiliensis (rubber tree). The record is from RNAcentral. Lineage: Eukaryota; Viridiplantae; Streptophyta; Magnoliopsida; Malpighiales; Euphorbiaceae.
AGAGGGAGGUGGAAAGUUUAAAUCAAACGGCAGAGGAUCUUUACAAAACGACGACGUCUGAUCAUCAUCGCCACCGCCGCCGCCAAUGCAAUUACCAUCCACCACAGAAGACGACGAAUCACAAUCACUAUGACCUUCCCCCAUCGGAAUCCGGCGGGGAAUUUCAAUCCGCGGUUGCAUCGUUUUACACAAUGCACGCGCAUCACUCGAUGAUUCCACCGUGCUACUCAUACUACUCGACGCCGGCCUUGAUUGUUGAAGAUUUUCAAAUUGAUUCUCCCCAUAAGGAGGCAAUACUGGGAAGUUAGUUUUUGCUUUAGCUCCAUGAAAAGACCUUGCAGCAGUAUCAUAAGCUCGUGCAGCACCCUCCGCUGUAUCAAACGUUCCCAGCCAUUUACGAGCUUUUUUCACCGGAUCCCUUAUCUCAGCAGAAAAUCGACCCCAUGGCCGUUUACGUACACCCCUAUAACGAGGUGGCUCAAUCACCGACUGUUGGAAAACAACGGAUCUUGAUCCAUUUAUCUCCGGAUUUUUCCGACGGGGCAUGGCCGGUAAUUUAAAAUAGGAGAUGGGGUUGUCGGAAAUUGUCGCCGGCGGCCACUAAAUUGAUCGGAAUUGUGUAAA